UGCCAGCAGCCGCGGUAAUACGAAGGGUGCUAGCGUUGUUCGGAAUUACUGGGCGUAAAGCGCGCGUAGGCGGAUUGGAAAGUUGGGGGUGAAAUCCCAGGGCUCAACCCUGGAACUGCCUCCAAAACUACAUAGCUAGAGGAUGUGAGAGGAUAGUGGAAUUCCGAGUGUAGAGGUGAAAUUCGUAGAUAUUCGGAAGAACACCAGUGGCGAAGGCGGCUCACUGGCUCGAUACUGACGCUGAGGUGCGAAAGCGUGGGGAGCAAACAGGAUUAGAUA
Molecule: ribosomal RNA, 279 nt
Filed under: uncultured bacterium
Lineage: Bacteria
Description: partial 16S ribosomal RNA
Rfam family: Bacterial small subunit ribosomal RNA
Source: RNAcentral